This is an RNA transcript of Apis laboriosa (Himalayan honeybee), 10009 nucleotides long. It is a transcript of the gene named sodium bicarbonate cotransporter 3, with no coding region annotated. The record is from RefSeq and is a predicted model, not a curated record. Lineage: Eukaryota; Metazoa; Arthropoda; Insecta; Hymenoptera; Apidae. The transcript has 21 exons.
AAAGGAUUGGAGACGCGUGAAGUGAAAUAGAAUGCAAAUUUCCAAUUAUUUUGAGCAUCGUUUCGCGGCUCGUGUCUUUCUUACCGACUUAUUGCGCCAAUGAUAUAAUGAAAACGAUUGAUAUGUCUUAUCUUCUCGUUUACGUAUUUUUGCUUUUUUAAAAUGGAAAACGAAAGGUAAUUGAGUCGAGCGAGAUAAGGGGACGCUUCUUUUGUUAAUUGAGAGUAAUUCUAAUUGAGAAUAAUUUCUUGAUUCUUCGGGAAAAAGAAACGUCAUAGAGUCUAUAUUGUAGAUAUACUCUUAUAUAGGGUAUAUAUAUAGAAAUAUUUAUUGUCGUUUGUCGAAGUUUGAUUUUUUCUUAUCGUGUUUAAGUUAAACGCGCUUUGUAUAUUUCCAUUAUUUUAUCAUUUAUUUUAUCUUCGUUAUUAUUAAUAUGUAAAUCAAUAAGAUUUCAUUUUAGUUUCCAUUUUAAUAUUUUUUAUUUAUUUCAUUUUAUCUGGAUCAUACGUGGCCUAAAAUUUUCACUGGAUUAACAUGUUUGUUUAAUGAGAAUUAAAUUGAAAUUUAAAAACUAUAUUAUCUUUUAUCAGCAUUAUUGUAUAGUCUAUCCUUCAAUUCAUUCGACUUAUGCAGUAUAUACAUCGAUCUAUCAUCACUGGACUUUGAAUGAAUAUCAAUUUACAAAAUUAUCCGUUUUUUCUUUACUCAGAAACGAUAUUAUUGAAAAUUCGUUGAAUAAAAUUUGUCUGGCAAAUAAAGGAGAGAUCGUUUGCGAAAAAUGACGCGUUUUACGUAAUUUCACGCCGGAAAGUAUAUCGAUAAAAAAAAGAUAAAAUAAAUAUUGCGAAAAAAAUAGACGAAAAUUACAUGCAAUAGCGCGAAAUGUAAAGAUUUUAAAAUAACAAAUUAUCAAUAUGAUAAAUCAUUCGAUUUCGUAACCUUCGUUUCAUAACGAAGGAAUUGAUUCUCAAUAAAGUAUAUUUCGUGGAAAUCGAAUAUCUCUUCGUCUUCAUUAUAUCUUAUUUUAUAAUUUUCCUUCUAACAAAGUUUAAAAUCGUAGUUAAUUUCGUACCACGGUAUUCAUUGCGAUAUUUUCUUCGCGUAAAGAGAAUAAAUUCAAAAACCCAUCGUUGUUUUUCCGGAACAAUGUCGUUCCAACAAUCUAGUUGACCAAUUAUUCGGAAAUAAAUGGUUCCAACGAAGAAAUUAUACUCUGAUAAGUGUUUGAUAUAGAAAUCGGUUGAAAUUCAAGAGAUGGUGUCAAGAAAUUGGCAAAAAUCCAAAUUCGAUUACGAUCUCUUCCGCAUGCUAUAAAUCGAAUGGCGCAUAGCAGACUUUUUUUUGAUCCGCAUUAUCGGAUGUUUCAAUGAUGAUUCUCUCUGAAACGUUGGCAAAUACAUUCAAAAAUGUAUUGAAUCGAUCUUUCUAUUCUUUAUCAAUUUUUCAAUUCUUAUCAAUGAGAGCAACUCGUUUUAAUCUCAAAUCUAUUUUCAAUUUAAAGUAACUCUUACAAUACAAUAAGAAUUGUCUCAAGCUCGCGAUGAAUACAUAUUUGAAAUUUAUUUCGAGCCUCGAGAUCGUAUAAAGGACGCUAAUGAACUAUUAUUUCGAUCGUUACAUUUUUACGUUCCAAUUACAAGUACCGAUAUUCAGAACGAGUGGUACAACUUUGUUGCGGACAAUGCUCGUUACUCGAAUCACAAAAAAAUAUCAUAUCACAAGGACUUUUUCAUUUGACGUUGUUGUGGCUCGUUAAUGCACUCAUUGGUCUGACGAAUCUUCCCGCUGCCAGUCGAUCGUUGAAAAUUUCGUACGCUUUCAGCAACGUGUAUCGCGACGCGUUUUAUUCAAGAAUGCCUCCAAUUCAUCGUGUGCAUCGAUCGUUUGACAUUUGUCCUUCGGUGAAACUCUCGAAAACGCGAAGAAUUUUAAUCCGUUAGAUAUCAGAAGCGUCGAGAAAUCGAAUUCCUUCGUAUUCGCGGAUCCUCUUUCGUGUUUUUUUUUAUAUCGGUAGGUACCAGGUUGACCUCCAACAAUUAAACAAUUAUCGUGUGCUCCCCUCAUUUAUUAUCCCACUCUCCCUUUAUCGUAACUGCGUACAAGAGGACCGUCUAUUAUGUAAAACCACAUAUAUUACAUGUACACAUAGGUAGAACGCAGAUAAUCAUAGCGUGGUAAUUAUCCACUUGACAGCUGCUAAUCCUCGGCUGACCGUUUAACGUUUGUCACGAUCUUGACAUUCUGAUAAUCAGCCUUGAAAACUUCCAUAUAUACUUUCACGAGCUUUGGAGAAAUUCAAAUAGUCUGAGAAACCUGUUGAAGAUUAUCAUUACGAUGUUUAUCUUAUGAAUGAUUGCUAUAUAUAUGUAUAUAUCUAGUUAUCGUGAUAAUGUAUCGCAUACACGUAAAGAAAAAUGUCAUGGUUCUAUGUGAUCAUUGAACGUGUUGCAAUUUCAUUAUUAUCUUGCAUUAUAUCUUGUGGAUUUAGACGAUUAAAUAUUAUUAGAUAACUAGGAAAGUUUUAUCAUUUUUUUUUAUGGCAAAAAAGGAAGGUGUAAGAGAUUUAGAAAAUAAACUUUCAUUUCAUCAUAAAUAUAUAUUAUGAUGAUUUUAUAAAAGUUACGAUUUUGAAAGAUAAAAGAUUCUCCUUUAACACUCUCUAUUUUUGGUUUUGGAGAUAGAAAGAAAAAUCUCAAAAGAAAAUGAGAAUUAAACAAGAAUUUUGAUCCAUUUUCCUCUGAUUUUUCGUUCGUUCAAAAUUAUGAUUUAAUUAUCGAAAGGAGAAAACAAUAGCAAUACAUACGCAAAAUAUAUUAUGGUAAAUAUGAAAUAAUAACUAUCCUUGUACACAUAAUUCGAUAAUGAACUUUAUAUUUUCUCACGUUAAUGGUUAGCUAUUGCAACAUACACCUUUGUAUAUACAAGUUUUUUCAAUAGCCUUUUAAAUCAUUCAAAUUCAUUGCGUUACGAAUUAAUUUCCUCGUCAUUUUUACGACGGUAUUAAAUCGUAAAGUGUAAAUUGUACGUUAUAAAGUAAUUUAUCCCAACACGUAUUAUGCAAACAACGAUAUUGCGAAAAAGUUGGAAAAACGAUAUUAACGAAGAGGAUGAAAGAAAGUUUUAAACGAAAUCAAGAAUAAGUUUUCAAAAAUUCGUAAAAAGGAUCGUACGUCGCAUAGAGUCUCGAUGUUUAAAGCUCUUCGUAAAACGCAAAACGUUCACGAUUCCCUCGUAAAUUCGCGUCUCCUCGUCGAGUUUUUAAACAUCUUUGUUAUCAUUAUUAUCCUUCUUCGAACAUGGUGGAUCUGCGUAGUCGAAAAAAUCGUAUCGUCCCAAAAGAGCCGCGCUUUUUACGAUGUUUUAUUACGCGAGAUACAUCUGCGACACACGUCUCGAACGAAACUGUUUCGGCUUAGUAAUCAUCGGCCUCGGUGUUUAGGAUCGCACGUGUCAACUGAUUACGCAUAAUCGAGUAACAGUGUCCCUCCUCGGUAAUUUUCGUUCACUUGUUAGAAUUUCACGGUACAAUGUGCAAUUUUUCCGUUUACUCAUGAGUGGUAUCGAUUCGAAAACAAACGUCUCUUUAACGCGACCGGAUAUCGCGCGUUUUCACCUUAUCCCCGCUUAUCUCGCGAAGAUGACGCGAGUCGAAUUGGAAGUCGAAUCGAAUUCGAAGGAAUCAAAGACGAUCCGUAUGCGAUGCGGAAUCGCACGCAACUCCUUCUAUUGUUUCGCGAAUAAAACGUGAGGCAUUGUUAACUAUUAUCGCGAUUCGAGUCUACGCCGUGGACAAUUAAAUUCGUAAGGGAAAAGAUAUGGAUCGUGAGGGAUCGUUGAAGAGUGGUUCGUCACCGUGGAUGCAGCCGGGUAUCGGAGGUGGAGGUGGCGCGGCCCACACAGGUGGGACAGGUGACGACGAAGCUCCGAAAGAUCCCGGUGUUCGGAUCACUCAUCAACCUUUCACCGAGAAAGACUACGAAGGUCACAGAGCGCACACGGUGUAUGUGGGCGUGCAUCUACCAGGCGAAAGGAGACAUCGUCGUCAUCACAAGCACCAUCAUUCUCAACGUCAAACGUACAGUGCCGAUAAGGAUAAUGUCGACAACGAUAGGCCCAUUACACCCCCAGCCCAGAGGGUGCAAUUUAUCCUGGGCGAAGAAGUUGGCGACGAUGCACACGAAUCCCAUCCUCUCUUCUCCGAGAUGGAGGAGCUCGUCAAGGAUGGUGACGAGAUGGAAUGGAAGGAAACAGCCAGGUGGAUCAAAUUUGAGGAAGAUGUCGAGGAGGGUGGAAAUAGAUGGAGCAAACCACACGUAGCGACUCUCUCGCUACACGCCCUCUUCGAAUUGAGGAGCUUGCUGUUAAAUGGGACCGUGAUGUUGGACAUGGAAGCGAACAGUCUUGAACAGAUUGCUGAUUUGGUUCUCGAUAAUAUGAUCAAUAAAGGCUCGUUGCCGGCCGAGUCGAGAGAAAAGGUCAGGGAAGCUCUUCUGGUGAGGCAUCGGCAUCAACACGAGAGACGUAAAGAUAACAACAUGUCUAGGCUACCUAUUAUCAGAUCAUUGGCCGAAAUAGGUCGAAAUCAUUCCUCUUCGAAGAAUUACGACUGUACGUGUGGUUUGCAUGCGUUGUUGACGUCAGAUUUACAGGAGCGUCGCGGUAGGGACGCCUACGCGCCCUCCGUCGCUCGCAGCAGCAGUUGUCCAAAUCCAAACACAGCUCUACUUUCGAAAGAAACGAAAGAUUUGAAAGGACCGUAUCUUCUGGUUCCAGGCCAAGAACCAGGCCCUAACGGAAUGGAUCGAAGUCCGAGUAGCGUGUCAAUUAGCCGAAAUCACAGUUCGUCCGCCUUAGAAAAUGGAGAUGCGAAUCACAAGGGUAAUACGCAUUUUAUGCGGAAGAUACCAGCGGGAGCCGAGGCGAGCAAUAUUCUCGUAGGAGAGGUCGAUUUUUUAGAUAAAACUCUAUCGGCUUUCAUUCGAUUGAGCCAAGCUGGAAUAAUGGGUGAUUUGACGGAAGUUCCUGUGCCAACGAGAUUUAUAUUUGUUCUGCUUGGACCAACGGGAGGGCUCACAGGUUUCCACGAGAUUGGUCGUGCAAUGGCUACUUUAAUGUCUGACGAGGUCUUCCACGAUGUGGCUUACAAGGCGAAGAACAGAAAUCAUCUUCUCGCCGGAAUUGACGAGUUCUUGGACGCGGUCACGGUUCUACCACCAGGAGAAUGGGAUCCUGCAAUCAGAAUAGAACCGCCUGCUGCCAUUCCUUCGCAGGAUGUAAGAAAACGACCAAAAGAAGAAAAACCGAAAGAAGAACUGGACGAAGAAGCUGAUGAACAAAAAUUGAGGGAAGAAUCCGGACUCUCGAGGUCUGGUAAGCUUUUCGGUGGUUUGAUAAACGAUAUCAAGAGGAAAGCGCCGUUUUACUUCUCCGAUUUCAAAGACGCGUUGGCUCUUCAAUGCGUAGCCUCUUUUAUCUUCCUAUACUUUGCCUGUCUCUCGCCUAUAAUCACAUUUGGUGGUUUAUUGGGCGAGGCUACGGGAAAAAAUAUGGCCGCCAUGGAGUCGUUAGUUUCUGGUUUCGUUUGCGGUAUCGGAUAUGGAUUUUUUUCUGGACAACCUUUAACCAUCCUCGGCUCAACCGGUCCCGUUUUAGUCUUCGAGACGAUAGUCUAUGAAUUCUGCAAGAAAUCGGAUUGGAACUACAUGUCGUUCCGUUUUUGGAUCGGCUCAUGGAUAACCUUAAUUUUGGUAAUUCUCGUAGCGAUCGACGCUAGUGCUUUCGUGUGCUACAUCACACGUUUCACAGAGGAAAACUUCGCCACUCUGAUCGCGUUUAUCUUCAUCUACAAAGCCAUUGAAAACGUAUUGUCCAUCGGCAAGAAAUAUCCUAUUAAUACCCAUGCAAACGAUCCGUUCGAUUACGAGUGUUGGUGUAGGCCGCCGAAUGGCAGUCUACCGUCUAGCUACGACAACGUUAAUUGGACGGCGCUCGAUCAAAAAACGUGCCAGAAUUACAACGGUACGCUAGUGGGCGAUGGUUGCAACUUACCACACUAUAUACCUGAUGUGUUCCUCAUGUCAAUUAUACUAUUCAUAGGCACAUUUCUGUUAUCCGUUGAGCUCAAAGACUUCAAGAACGCUCUCUUCUUUCCAUCGAAGGUCAGACAAGUCGUUAGUGAUUUCGCGGUGAUAAUAGCAAUUUUUUCGAUGAGUACUCUCGAUCAUUUCGCGAAUAUUCCGACGCCGAAACUCGAGGUACCAACGGAAUUCAAGCCAACGUUGGCCGAUCGAGGAUGGAUAAUCUGGCCUUUUCAAAGUAAUCCAUGGUGGAGCGCUAUUGUUGCAAGUCUGCCAGCUCUGUUAGGUACUAUAUUGAUUUUUAUGGAUCAACAAAUCACAGCCGUGAUAGUAAAUAGGAAAGAGAAUAAAUUAAAGAAAGGAUGUGGCUAUCAUUUGGAUCUAUUCGUUCUCGCGAUUCUGAUAGAAAUUUGCUCGGUAAUGGGAUUACCCUGGUUCGUAGCGGCAACGGUGCUUUCGAUUAAUCAUGUGAACUCGUUGAAACUGGAAUCGGAAUGCGCCGCACCAGGAGAAAAACCACGAUUCCUUGGUGUUCGCGAGCAGCGAGUAACGCAUAUUUUAAUCUUUUUGAUGAUCGGUUGUUCGGUCCUACUCACACCAAUGUUGAGACACAUACCUAUGCCGGUAUUAUUUGGCGUUUUUCUUUAUAUGGGAGUCGCUUCAUUGAAAGGACUUCAAUUUUUCGACAGAAUUUUAAUUAUGUUGAUGCCGGUUAAAUACCAACCCGAUUAUAUGUUCCUUCGACAGGUACCAUUGAAACGCGUACAUCUAUUUACAACGAUACAAUUGACUUGUUUAGCCUGUUUGUGGAUCAUCAAAUCCUUCAGCAGUACUUCCAUUCUUUUCCCUUUGAUGCUGAUGGUGAUGAUUGGAAUACGCAAGUCCUUAGAUUUGAUGUUCACGCAACGGGAAUUGAAGAUCCUGGACGAUAUAAUGCCGGAACCAAGCAAAAAACAUGCCGAAGAUCUUCGUCAAUUGGAGAACGGCGAGGAACAAAACGAAUCCAAUCCAAUCGGAUAUGGUCCAUCAGGUAAUAUACAAAUCUCAUUGGCGAAUGGCAACAUUAUGAAAAUUCCAAUGGCGAGCAUCAAUAUCAGCGAAGAAGUGAAUAAGACAGGGAUUUGGCAACAAGUAAAUGAAGGCAACGAGAAAAUGAAACAAGUCAAACUAAUCAACGCGGGAAAGCAAAAAAAGCACUCGAAGAAAGAUAACUUGUUGAUGGCCGACGAGACUACGAGGCUGACUACGAUGACCGAAGAGGAUGAAGAUGACAGUGGGAUCUCUAUCAAGGUGACAAACGUAAAUGACUCUAAAUUCUAGCCACCACCACCAUCACCAAACCGAUAAAUCACAUGGCAAGUCACACAGCAAGAGCACCAAUACACCGGCAUGCAACAUACCCCCAUGUACGCUACUGUGUAGACUUGAUACGAUCGAAGGAAAGCAUCAGCCCGUUAACGAUUAACGGCACUACUUCGGCCGAGACUUCUGUUUAACGAAAACAACGCUACACUGGGAACGAUUCGCGAGAUCGUUUUUAAUCGUUAAAAUAUCCCGAAGAUUCCAUUACGAAUUAAUCGAUACAAUAUGUUUUAAUUUUUAUCGUACGCGUUAUUGCCAGCCAAGAUACAAACACAAUUAUGGUGAAUCGUUGAAAGAAAAUUAUCACGAGAACAAUAACCAAGUUGAAGCAUGUGGAACACUAUAUGAAAGUUUAAACAGCGAUAAAAAUAAGUGAAAAAUAAUUUUUUUUUUGUUUUUACAGAGAAUAAAAUCGCAUGCAAGACUAUCUUAUCUCAUUGCAUUUGUAAUUUGAUCGAGUGCAAUUAAUGAGUGCCACUGACAUAUAUCUAGAUUGUAACUAACAUGAACGUAUUUUAUUCAUAUAAAAAAAAGAAAAAAGAAAAAAAAAGAAGAAAAUGAAGAAACGCACAUGAUUAAAAUUUAAAAUAAAAUGUUUUAGCUUUAAGAUUCGAUUCACUGAUAAUUUGAUGCGUGAAUUGUUGUCAUUUAUUGAAUCAUGAAUUUAUUGAUGAAAAUAUUCUUGUCAGUGUGCAAUAACGUGUAAUUUAACGAUUAUAUGAAUUAAAGAUAGUUCGUGCCCAUGAUAACUAUGCCAAGAAAACCCCUUUGAUAUAUCGACGUUUCCUUCGAGGGAUGUCUCGUAGAGAAGCUUGGCCGAAAUGCAACAUGUCCUCGAUCAUAAAAAGAAAGUCGAAAGAUAGACAAAAUUCAUCCUUGACCAACAAAUUAUGCAAUAUUAAUAACUUUUUUUUAACUCGAUUGGUUUUUAUCCAAAUUCUUAAAGAGUAUUUUUUGAAAAUUUUCGAUAUACGUAUAAUACCGGCCAAUAGCGACAAUAUCAAUAUUAUUUAAUAGAAUAAAUGUACAUCUUUUUUACACUGAAAUUUAAUUGUAUGAAAUUCGGGAAGAAUUAAUACUAGAGAACCAUUUUUCAUAUUUUUUAUCAAAAUUUUAGCAUGACUGAAUUUUUCCAUGUCCAUAACGCCGUCCCUUGAAGGAUGUCCUUUUUUUCAAGAAAGGGAAACGAAUAAUGAGAUUUUUAUCAUACUGCAGUCUUUCACAUAGUAAGUGUAACGAUCUUGAUUUUUAAAAAUUUAAAUAAAAACUUAUGCGGAUCGUUGCACGAAUAAGUUGUCAUUUUUCUUCUCCGAUUUUCGACCCGAUCGAUGGAAGCGAAAUGAUUAGUGUGAGAAGAUUAAAAGAGAAUAUUUAAUACGAUAUUUUUCAAAUGACACGUUAUCAAAUUAUUAUACACGUUAAAUUUCCAAGGCUUUACAAAUAUAGUCGAAAAUUGCGUGAUAAGUCGAUAAAUGAAGAACGAUUGAAUUCUUUGUAUUUCGUGAAAAAAACGUUGUAAAUUAAAUGACUAAGAAUGAUAAGGGACAUUAAUAAGCCUCAUCCUCAUACAACAUAUAUUGGAAUAUUUCCAUUGAUAUAAUUACAACAAAGUACGAAACAAGGCAAUCGUUCGUGUUGAUGUUACGUGUAUUUGUAUAUAUUUAAGAAAAAAAAUCAUUUGCAGUUCUGUAUACGCUCGCAAUGGGAAAGAAGUCAUUAAUUGGAGCUAUACGCGAACUUUUCUGAUGAUGAUUUAAAAAAUAUGUUCGUUAAAUCGCUGCUUAAGUAUUAACUGGUUGUGAUUAAAUUUUCCACUGAGAAAGACCGUUAUUUACGCCUUUUGUUUUAAAGAUACACCAAAAAAAAAUACCAUUUUGUAUAUCAUGUGCGAGAUAAAUGAAACUCUUCUUUAAAAGAUAUAUGUAAAAAAUUAAUAAAAUGAUGAAGAGAUGUGAAACGAUAUUCUGCUAGAUAAUAUAUUAAUUGCAGUAACAUUUAAUUUGCAUAUUUUAUAAAAAUCGCAAACAUGUUUACUGCGUCUUUUUUAUAAAAAUAUCGUAAGUGUAUAUUGUGCAUUAUUUAGAAGAUCUAGUCCAGCAUAACCACAAUGGAAUACCAAAGAUUUUUCAAAAAUAAUGAUGAUCGAUCGAAGUUGAAAGCAUAAAAAUAUAAAUUUAAGCAUAGUAAUCGUAUAGCAUCAAAUAAUUAUAGGUUUUAUUACCAAUUUGUUUUGUAUAUAGACAUAUAUACAUAUAUAUAUAUAUAUAUUAAAGUUCAUCAUUCUCGAUAUCAUUUAAUUUUCAUCAUAAAUAGAAAAGUGUGUAAUGAAUAAUUUUGUUAAUAAUUAAGCAGUAUGUACUUGGAUAUAUAAAGGAUAAACAAAUUGCACACAAUUGUGAUUGAUUAUUGGUGUGCAAACACAUACAAGCGAGAAGACUCAUUGCGAGCAACAAUGUAUAUAAUCAGCUGCAAUCAUAUAAUUCGCUGCCAUGCAUGCAAUCGAUGUAUUAGUCCUCUUUAACGGAAUUGCUGAUAAAUUCUGAUUAAAAAAAAAAAAAAAAAAAAGAAAA